GGCCUUCAACCAAAGAGCUGGGCCAUCCGUGGCAAUGCCUCCCAGGCUUGGGAGCUGGGAAAAGGCCCCAGGAGCUAGGGCAUCCUGAUUGUUCUUUCAAAGAAAUCCCUCUUGUUCUUAGUCAACAUGCUGGAUACCAGCUAAAAAAUGCAAAAUGAUCUUCAGGCAGGGAUGGCACAGGACCCUUGCUGAGCUGUGAAGCCUGGCUGUGAGGAUUCCUGCAUGGAAACAUCAACAUGUUGCCAGAUUGGUAUACGACUCAACACCACACUGACAUGCUGCUCCCAAACAGUGCCUUUGAAUCAAGACCCAGUCAUCGUAUUCGAAGAAAAAGGAAAUAUCCCUGACCAUGUUGGGACUUAACACUGCUUCACAGAGCUAAAACAUCCUUGGGCAUUACAUAUGAAACCAACAUACAAAGACUGUAAAAGUUGAAGAGAAGAAGGCAGAUAAGCUAGAGACUUUAGGACCCACAGAACAACGUGGUGGCAAGUUCCCUGGGCUUUCUUUUUGCCUCAUAUACCCCAGACCUGAAGCUGAAGAAGACAGCACCCUGGAAUGGUCACUGGAUAUAGAUGAAAACGACAAUAAUAACAAGUUGCUGUUUCUAGCCAAAGUGAUGGCAGCACAUGAUGGAUGCAGCAGGGAGGCUCGGCUGGGGCUGCACACUCCAUGGAGCCAGUAGAAGCCCCAUCCCUUCUGAGUUGGGGCAGGAGCUCCUAGGGUACUGCUGCAGCUGCCCAAACCACAGGCUGCAGACCCAAACUGCAGCUGUAGCCACCCAAACUGUGGCUGUGAAUCCGAGCUUCUCUGUGCUCUUGGGGGGAACCGGUAGUGGGCGGGAUCUGCCCUCCUGGGUGCCCAACCCACGGCUGCAGACCUGGGCCUCCCAUUCCACAGAGUAUACAGGAGCUGGGGACAAGUGGAAGCCCUGCCCCUUCCGAGUUUGCAGAGCAGAAGCUCCCCGAGUGCUGCUGCAGCAGCCCUCCCAGGAGCAAGGCCUGGGCAUCUCUGCAGCCUGUGUCCUCAGGGCCCAGGAAGGGUUUCCCAAUCCCUGUAGGCUCAGAGGUGUCUGCUCCUGUUGUCUGGCCUCUCUCCUUUCCCUGUGCCAGCUCCAGUCUUGGAGCAGGGUUGGCAAUGUGCGCCAGGGGCCAUGAAUGGCAGCAGGAGUCAGCUAGAUCCCUGGGUGGAAAACAAUAGUCCAGGGUAAGGCCUCACCUUCAGGCCAGGGAGAGGCUGAAGGCUGGGGGCUUGACUGCCAGUCCACAGACCAGAAUAGGGAGUUGUAGUGCCUCCUGCUGCCUGCCCGUUGUCACCUGUGGAUCAAUCUGUAUGCACUUCCUCCCCUCUGAGGUCCAUAAAAGCCCCAGGUUCAGCCAGAGCAGGGCAGAGGACAGAGGACAGAGAGAUGACAGGAUGACCAGCCUGCAGAGAGGAGCUACCCUCUCCAGGGCCUCCUCUCUGCUGAGAGCUGAACACUUGACAGGACGACCUGCCUACAGAGAGGAGCUACCCACUGCAGGUCUCCUCUGAGCUGUUCUAACACUAAAUAAAGCUCCUCUUCAUCUUCUUCACCCUUCA
Homo sapiens (human) is the source of this 1581-nucleotide long non-coding RNA. The record is from Ensembl. NCBI's taxonomy places the organism in Eukaryota, Metazoa, Chordata, Mammalia, Primates, Hominidae.